UGGGGAAUAUUGGACAAUGGGCGCAAGCCUGCUCCAGCCAUGCCGCGUGAGUGAUUAAGGCCCUAGGGUUGUAAAGCUCUUUCACCGGUGAAGAUAAUGACGGUAACCGGAGAAGAAGCCCCGGCUAACUUCGUGCCAGCAGCCGCGGUAAUACGAAGGGGGCUAGCGUUGUUCGGAUUUACUGGGCGUAAAGCGCACGUAGGCGGACUUUUAAGUCAGGGGUGAAAUCCCGGGGCUCAACCCCGGAACUGCCUUUGAUACUGGAAGUCUUGAGUAUGGUAGAGGUGAGUGGAAUUCCGAGUGUAGAGGUGAAAUUCGUAGAUAUUCGGAGGAACACCAGUGGCGAAGGCGGCUCACUGGACCAUUACUGACGCUGAGGUGCGAAAGCGUGGGGAGCAAACAGG
RNAcentral lists this ribosomal RNA (404 nucleotides) under Actinomycetes bacterium. RNAcentral's name for it is "Actinobacteria bacterium partial 16S ribosomal RNA". It matches the Rfam family "Bacterial small subunit ribosomal RNA", at positions 355 to 776 of the family's 1533-position model. The record is from RNAcentral. Lineage: Bacteria; Bacillati; Actinomycetota; Actinomycetes.